AUACGUAGGGGGCUAGCGUUAUCCGGAAUUACUGGGCGUAAAGGGUGCGUAGGUGGUUUCUUAAGUCAGAAGUGAAAGGCUACGGCACAACCGUAGUAGGCUUUUGACACUAAGAGCAUUGAGUGCAGGAUCGGAGUGUAGAGUUCCUAGUGUAGCGGUGAAAUGCGUAGAUAUUAGGAGGAAUACCAGUUGCGAACGGGGCUCUCUGGACUGUAACUGACACUGAGGCACGAAAGCGUGGGGAGCAAACAGGAUUAGAUCCCCUGGUAGUCCACGCCGUAAACGAUGAGUACUAGCUGUCGGGGGUUACCCCCCUCGGUGGCGCAGCUAACGCAUUAAGUACUCCGCCUGGGAAGUACGCUCGCAAGAGUGAAACUCAAAGGAAUUGACGGGG
RNAcentral lists this ribosomal RNA (394 nucleotides) under uncultured bacterium. RNAcentral describes it as "partial 16S ribosomal RNA". It matches the Rfam family "Bacterial small subunit ribosomal RNA", at positions 523 to 918 of the family's 1533-position model. The record is from RNAcentral.